UGGGGUAUAGCUCAGUUGGUAGAGCACCUGCCUUGCAAGCAGGGGGUCAGCGGUUCGAAUCCGCUUAUCUCCACCA
Molecule: transfer RNA, 76 nt
Filed under: Tumebacillus algifaecis
Lineage: Bacteria; Bacillati; Bacillota; Bacilli; Caryophanales; Alicyclobacillaceae
Description: tRNA-Ala
Rfam family: tRNA
About the family: Transfer RNA (tRNA) molecules are approximately 80 nucleotides in length. Their secondary structure includes four short double-helical elements and three loops (D, anti-codon, and T loops).
Source: RNAcentral